RNAcentral lists this long non-coding RNA (625 nucleotides) under Triticum aestivum (bread wheat). RNAcentral's name for it is "long non-coding RNA (TAES_LNC011692)". Lineage: Eukaryota; Viridiplantae; Streptophyta; Magnoliopsida; Poales; Poaceae. The record is from RNAcentral.
CACUAGCCCUAUUGUCUCUAUAUCUCGUAUGCUCUGCUACCGUUGCUCAAUGUAAGCACACCAAUCAGGUUAUGCACACUUAAUUUUUCCAGUUCCCCCUGGAAGUAUGUAGUAUAGCUACUAAAACCUAUUUUUUUCAUUUGUUUCUUGUCUAAUCUUUUGUGCGUUUAUUUAUUCUUCACUAAUUUUCUUUUUCACAUAACGAUUGUUCGUUUGUUAUCCCCUAGGCCGAAUCAUAGAUGACACAGAUAGCGAGAAGAUCGAUUUACCAAAUGGGCUAUGCGUUAAGAGUAAAUGCCGUAGUACUCCAGAAGAUUGCUUCUGUUGUUUGGCAGAUAACAACUGCUACUGGACUAUGGCCGAAUGCAAGGCAGCGUGUAAAAAAUCCUCGUCUUCACAAGACAUGCUACUGGCGACGACAACCCCUCCUCCUUUACCUGCUCCUUAGUUUUCCAGCCUAGUCAAAUUGGCUUACAUAUUUACUUGUCCCAAGAGAGAAAUAAUGCCUGAUAUAUGUGUGGAAAUACAAUUGUGCAAUAAGAUCAAGUAAUACUCUAGCAAUUGUUGCUAUUUGGUUGGGCAAAUUGCGUUUAAACUUUUACCAAUUAUGCCGGCUAAGUUCUAG